This 117-nucleotide ribosomal RNA is filed under the name Pteropus alecto (black flying fox). Lineage: Eukaryota; Metazoa; Chordata; Mammalia; Chiroptera; Pteropodidae. The record is from RNAcentral.
GUCUAUGGCCAUGCUACUCUGAACGAGCCCAACCCAUCUGAUCUGGGAAGCUAAGCAGGGUCAGCCUGGUUAGUACUUGUAUAAGAUACCACCUAGGAAGACCAGGAGCUGUAGGCA